This 75-nucleotide transfer RNA is filed under the name Candidatus Thalassarchaeaceae archaeon. Its description in RNAcentral is "tRNA-Gly". It matches the Rfam family "tRNA". Rfam says of the family: Transfer RNA (tRNA) molecules are approximately 80 nucleotides in length. Their secondary structure includes four short double-helical elements and three loops (D, anti-codon, and T loops). Lineage: Archaea; Methanobacteriati; Thermoplasmatota; Candidatus Poseidoniia; Candidatus Poseidoniales; Candidatus Thalassarchaeaceae. The record is from RNAcentral.
GCGGAUAUGGUCUAGUGGUUAUGACUGCAGGUUCCCAACCUGCCAACGCGGGUUCGAUUCCCGCUAUCCGCACCA